UCGCACUAUAAACUUUGUCGCCCAAGGGGUAGUGGUAGUUACAUGAUGACACCCCUAUAACUUUGUGAGAAAUCACAAGGAUUUGGACUCUGGGGGAAGUAUGGUCGCAAGGCUGAAACUUAAAGGAAUUGACGGAAGGGCACCACCAGGAGUGGAACCUGCGGCUUAAUUUGACUCAACACGGGGAAACUUACCAGGUCCAGACACAGUGAGGAUUGACAGAUUGAUAGCUCUUUCUUGAUUUUGUGGAAAGUGGUGCAUGGCCGUUUUUAGUUGGUGGAUUGAUUUGUCUGGUUAAUUCCGUUAACGAACGAGACCUAAACCUACUAACUAGUUAAUGGUAACUUGGACUCCAUAAUAAAUUUUCAUAUGGAGACCUCGAAAUUUAUCCAAACUUCUUAGAGGGACUCUUUAUACUUAGUGAAUGGAAGUUUUAGGCAACAACAGGUCUGUGAUGCCCUUAGAUGUUCUGGGCCGCAAAA
RNAcentral lists this ribosomal RNA (482 nucleotides) under Quadrulella symmetrica. RNAcentral describes it as "SSU rRNA". It matches the Rfam family "Eukaryotic small subunit ribosomal RNA", at positions 1025 to 1494 of the family's 1831-position model. Lineage: Eukaryota; Tubulinea; Elardia; Arcellinida; Hyalospheniidae. The record is from RNAcentral.